This 481-nucleotide ribosomal RNA is filed under the name uncultured bacterium. RNAcentral describes it as "partial 16S ribosomal RNA". It matches the Rfam family "Bacterial small subunit ribosomal RNA", at positions 30 to 506 of the family's 1533-position model. The record is from RNAcentral.
AUUGAACGCUGGCGGCAUGCUUUACACAUGCAAGUCGAACGGUAACAGGCCGCAAGGUGCUGACGAGUGGUGAACGGGUGAGUAAUGCAUCGGAACGUGCCCAGUCGUGGGGGAUAACUACUCGAAAGAGUAGCUAAUACCGCAUACGAUCUAUGGAUGAAAGCGGGGGACCGUAAGGCCUCGCGCGAUUGGAGCGGCCGAUGUCAGAUUAGGUAGUUGGUGGGGUAAAGGCUCACCAAGCCAACGAUCUGUAGCUGGUCUGAGAGGACGACCAGCCACACUGGGACUGAGACACGGCCCAGACUCCUACGGGAGGCAGCAGUGGGGAAUUUUGGACAAUGGGCGCAAGCCUGAUCCAGCAAUGCCGCGUGCAGGAAGAAGGCCUUCGGGUUGUAAACUGCUUUUGUACGGAACGAAACGGCUCUGGUUAAUACCCGGGGCUAAUGACGGUACCGUAAGAAUAAGCACCGGCUAACUACGU